CCUACUGGAGGCAGCAGUGGGGAAUUUUGGACAAUGGGCGAAAGCCUGAUCCAGCCAUUCCGCGUGCAGGAUGAAGGCCCUCGGGUUGUAAACUGCUUUUGUACAGAACGAAAAGGUUUCUACUAAUACUAGGAGCUCAUGACGGUACUGUAAGAAUAAGCACCGGCUAACUACGUGCCAGCAGCCGCGGUAAUACGUAGGGUGCAAGCGUUAAUCGGAAUUACUGGGCGUAAAGCGUGCGCAGGCGGUUAUAUAAGUCAGAUGUGAAAUCCCCGGGCUCAACCUGGGAACUGCAUUUGAGACUGUAUAGCUAGAGUACGGUAGAGGGGGAUGGAAUUCCGCGUGUAGCAGUGAAAUGCGUAGAUAUGCGGAGGAACACCGAUGGCGAAGGCAAUCCCCUGGACCUGUACUGACGCUCAUGCACGAAAGCGUGGGGAGCAAACAGGAUUAGAUACCCUGGUAGUCCACGCCCUAAACGAUGUCAACUGGUUGUUGGGUCUUAACUGACUCAGUAACGAAGCUAACGCGUGAAGUUGACCGCCUGGGGUGGUAGCGCGAGUAGUUAAGUUAAAGUAAGUUAGNGGNGNGAGAGNGCGAGACGACGACGAGGGAGGAGG
This 617-nucleotide ribosomal RNA is filed under the name uncultured bacterium. Its description in RNAcentral is "bacterial SSU rRNA". The stretch from base 1 to 542 matches the Rfam family "Bacterial small subunit ribosomal RNA", at positions 338 to 873 of the family's 1533-position model. The record is from RNAcentral.